This is a long non-coding RNA of Falco peregrinus (peregrine falcon), 1586 nucleotides long. RefSeq lists it as uncharacterized. The record is from RefSeq and is a predicted model, not a curated record. The transcript is spliced from 3 exons. NCBI's taxonomy places the organism in Eukaryota, Metazoa, Chordata, Aves, Falconiformes, Falconidae.
UCAGCAGAGAUGUAGCUGCCAAGCGGGCUGUCCCGCAUCUCUUCAGUAUGGGCACACUCUGCUGGUCAGAGGGGAAACCAGGGGAGUAGCUCCGGUGGAGAUGUCAGGGUGCGAUCAGGUGAAAUUCUUGUGCCCCCAUCUCGUGUCUGCUAAAUAAGAAAUCAGCUGGGGCAGGGAUCUUCCCCCCGCCCCGGCUUCUGUGUUUAGGUACCGCUUAGCACAGAGCUGUUUCUAUUUUGCAUAGUAUCAAAUGAGAAAAACUAAGCCAGUUGCAAUGGCAAUUAUUUGAUUAUGAAAAACUGCAGGCACAAGUGAGACCUCCAGGAAAAGCUCUCAUUUAAAGUCAACACUUGUAUAAAUAAUUUAGAUCAGUAUAUGUAAGUUUUACCCUGAUGACCUACUCCAGAACUGGGAGGAGUAGGUGUUAAUCAGAUUAAUUAAGGAAUCUCUUUGAUUUUUAGUAUACUCUGGUUUGGCAAUUUGUCCUCCGGAUGAUAUUUUGCAAUAGACUUGUUGUUAGACUGAGAACCGAAGUCAAAUCAGUGAAACACUAGCAUUAAUGACAUGGUUUGUUAGUAAUUUCUGUAGUAGUACCACAGUUAUGGUAUGAGUAAGGAAGAAGAAAACCCUCAGACAAGCAGUUAGUUCUGCAGAGCAUCAUGUAAAAGAUGUCAGGAGACCAGACAGGAGGUUGGUUAGAUGGUAGAAGGUAAUUUCUUUUUUUCCCCAAACCUACCAAUAAGUUUCAUUUUACUUGUAGCUAAGGUUGCAGGGCUCUGCUGGUGAACUCCUGCCUAAGGUGCUUGUGACUGAGUUUUAUCUUUAUAUACUAAGACCAGCCUAGAUCUGCAUUUAAUCAGUGUCAAAUAAUUAAGCAGGAGACAGGUGCAAGGAGAGAAGAGACAAAAUCAUCAUGCAGGGAAGAGACAAAGAAGGGUCUACCUGUUUUGGCUGGGGCUUGGCAGGACGUCAUGCUGUACCGUGCAAGAGCAGCGCGCACCCUGCUCCCCCAAGGAUGCCCUGCCUGUCCCCGGAGGCAGCUGCCCAACAUGGAGGUUUUGUGCUGCAUUUCAUGCUGCCUGCGCAGCCUGCAGCCCCAGCCACCUGCGCUGGGAGUGACAGGAUACAUGGUGGGUAUGGAUGCUCCUUGCUGCGGGGAGGAAGCUGACAUGGCAGCUGGGAGAAGGCUGGUCCAUCCUCAGAAGGAAAUGAGGAAUAAAUUAGGGACUCAUUUGCCAGGACACUGUGGCUGGGGUGACACUGUGACAUGCACUGGUGUUGCCCGUAUCUCUCCCUCUGUGGAUGCAGGCACCAUGCCAUUAGCAGAGAUGCACAGAAAUAUUUUCCCAUUAGUUUUCAUGAUGGAAGCAUCCCUUCUGUCCUACAUGCCAAAACACUAUGUCACUGAGCCUUGGCUGGUAUCAUCAUUGUGCUUCAGCACAGUGAUGAGGUAGGGAAGAAAACCAAAGAAGUUGCAGUAUCAGGGGAUGGGCUAAUUUUCUCAGACAUAAAAGCAUUUUUUUUAUUAGUGUUUCUAUUUCUGUUUAUAUAUGCUCUGGGAAAAAAAAAUAAAUCCAUGAAAUGGA